GGUCAAUGAGUACUGCGAAGGAGACAUUACAGAGACUCUGCCCUUUGGGUAGACCUCCCACCCUGUGUCGUUAUACCUUUGUUGCUUUGGCGGGCCGCGGGGCCCCGGCCCUGCCCCUGGCUCCGGCUAGGGCGCGCCCGCCAGAGGACUCCCAAACCUGAAUGUUAGUGUCGUCUGAGUACUAUAUAAUAGUUAAAACUUUCAACAACGGAUCUCUUGGUUCUGGCAUCGAUGAAGAACGCAGCGAAAUGCGAUAAGUAAUGUGAAUUGCAGAAUUCAGUGAAUCAUCGAAUCUUUGAACGCACAUUGCGCCCCUUGGUAUUCCGGGGGGCAUGCCUGUUCGAGCGUCAUUACAACCCUCAAGCUCUGCUUGGUCUUGGGCGUCACCGGUCCCCGGUGUGCCUUAAAAUCAGUGGCGGCGCCGUCUAGCUCUAAGCGUAGUACAUACUCUCGCUACAGACGCCCGGCGGAUGCUGGCCAGCAACCCCCAAUCUAUUAAGGUUGACCUCGGAUCAGGUAGGGAUACCCGCUGAACUUAAGCAUAUCAUAAGGCCGGAGGA
This 560-nucleotide ribosomal RNA is filed under the name Pezicula sp. 2 15. RNAcentral describes it as "eukaryotic LSU rRNA". The stretch from base 197 to 350 matches the Rfam family "5.8S ribosomal RNA". The record is from RNAcentral. Lineage: Eukaryota; Fungi; Ascomycota; Leotiomycetes; Helotiales; Dermateaceae.